RNAcentral lists this ribosomal RNA (479 nucleotides) under uncultured bacterium. RNAcentral's name for it is "partial 16S ribosomal RNA". It matches the Rfam family "Bacterial small subunit ribosomal RNA", at positions 28 to 507 of the family's 1533-position model. The record is from RNAcentral.
GAUGAACGCUAGCGGGAGGCCUAACACAUGCAAGCCGAGCGGUAUUUGUCCUUCGGGACAGAGAGAGCGGCGUACGGGUGCGGAACACGUGUGCAACCUGCCUUUAUCUGGGGGAUAGCCUUUCGAAAGGAAGAUUAAUACCCCAUAAUAUAUCGAAUGGCAUCAUUCGAUAUUGAAAACUCCGGUGGAUAGAGAUGGGCACGCGCAAGAUUAGAUAGUUGGUGAGGUAACGGCUCACCAAGUCAGUGAUCUUUAGGGGGCCUGAGAGGGUGAUCCCCCACACUGGUACUGAGACACGGACCAGACUCCUACGGGAGGCAGCAGUGAGGAAUAUUGGACAAUGGGUGAGAGCCUGAUCCAGCCAUCCCGCGUGAAGGACUAAGGCCCUAUGGGUUGUAAACUUCCUUUAUACUGGGAUAAACCUACUUACGUGUAAGUAGCUGAAGGUACAGUAUGAAUAAGCACCGGCUAACUCCGUG